This 490-nucleotide ribosomal RNA is filed under the name uncultured bacterium. RNAcentral's name for it is "partial 16S ribosomal RNA". It matches the Rfam family "Bacterial small subunit ribosomal RNA", at positions 29 to 507 of the family's 1533-position model. The record is from RNAcentral.
AUUGAACGCUGGCGGCAGGCCUAACACAUGCAAGUCGAACGGUAACAGGAAGAAGCUUGCUUCUUUGCUGACGAGUGGCGGACGGGUGAGUAAUGUCUGGGAAACUGCCUGAUGGAGGGGGAUAACUACUGGAAACGGUAGCUAAUACCGCAUAACGUCGCAAGACCAAAGAGGGGGACCUUCGGGCCUCUUGCCAUCGGAUGUGCCCAGAUGGGAUUAGCUAGUAGGUGGGGUAACGGCUCACCUAGGCGACGAUCCCUAGCUGGUCUGAGAGGAUGACGAGGCACAGUGGAAGUGAGACACGGUCCAGAGGAGUACGGGAGGCAGCAGUGGGGAAUAUAGGACGAAGGUCGGAAGCCUGAUGGAGGCAUGCAGCGUGGAUGAAGAAGGUCUUCGGAUUGUAAAGCCCUUUUAACGGGGAAGAAGAGAGUGGAACUGAAAAGCGCACACAUUGAAGUGACCUAAACAGAAAGCAACGGCUAACUACGUG